GAUGUCUCUUGCAUAAGUAAUGUUUGCUUAUUUAAAUUGCUUUUUAAGAAAGUGUAAUUUUAUUUCUUUAUUAUUUUAUAUGCAGUAUAUUGGUGGGAGACUCAUGUGGAUUUACCCAUCAAUGACUGGUCAUUUUCUUAGUGGCAUAUGUGGUUAUUAACUUCAGAAUAAUGACAUAGCCUUGUGGGGAUUUGUAGCCCUCCUAUCCUAAUUUCACUCAAGUAUCACCUCUUACCUUACUGUAUCCUUUAUUGUGUAUGAAAAUUAUUGAAAAAGAAAAACCUCUGCUUUAUAGAGAUGAAGUUUCCAGGUAUAUCAAAUGUGAACAGCUUCUGCCAAUACUUCACAGUUAUGCAAUUUACAAGUAUCCAAGAGGAUAUUGAGACCUUUCUAUGACACUUCCUCAGAAAAAAACUCUCUGCUUCACAAGAGCUUUAUCUGCAAAUGGAUUAUUCAGUCUGUCUCCUCCCAUUCUGCUUGGCUUCCUGCUAAUGCCUCUGUUGGUAGCUUCCAGUGGUCUUUGUAACCUGUAUUUAUCUUUCCCAAAUUAGAGGCAGCUGGGCACUUUUAGGAAGACAACAACUUGCUAAUUCUCUCUUUUCUAAUUUGCAAAGCCAGUAAUUCUCUCGAACUUCAGGAGACUUAUUUGGCCACAAAACAAAGAACUGUAAUGUGGUCUUAAGCUUUUAAGGCUUUAUUAUUUUAGAAAUAUUCUAUAACAAUGUGGAAGUUUAAACAUAUCAAUUAUUAGAAUCAAUAAACAUUAUAUAUUAUGAUAGCUCUAUUUUCUGUACCUGUCCUAAAUUUGACAUGAAUCAAACCAACUGGAAUUUUCUCUUUUAAGAAACUAUUUGAUCUCUAUUGAACAGAGUAAGUAGUGAGGAAAGAGUUCAUGAGUUGGGGAAAAAAAAAACACUUUUUAAGUUGCUUAGAAUAAAGAUAAGGAAUUCUUACUUGCUAAACAAAACCCUGAUUGCUUGAUAUGAACAUUAUAUUUUUGUAAUUAGUUUUCUUUGGAGAAAAUUCCAGAGAUAUUAACUAUUUUUAAAACAAAUUUAAUAUCUGCUAUUUUUUCCAGCUCUUAAAUUACAUUAUUAUUUUACCUAAUUCCUAUGGACAUGCCUUUUCAACCAUUUUUACACACUCUUUUUGAAUAGCUCUUUGUGGAAAACUUUAUUAUGUAGCUAAAAUAUCAUAUAUUGGUUAGGCUCUUUCCAUGAAGUGUGGAGAAGGAAAACAGCCUCAAGUAUUUGACAAAUCAUAAUAAUAUUUGGAUUUUAAAACAUUAAUAUACUGGUAAAGAUAAUUUGAAUAAGAAAUAGGAAAAUAGUAAAGUAUUAUUCUUUUAAUAAGAGUAAUAUUUUCCAAGACACAAAUUUGAAAAUGACAAGACACUCAUAUAAAGGAUCCUAAAUUCUCUAACUAAUGCCUACUGUUGUGAUUUUUAUUUGCAGUGGUUGAGGUAUACAUAAAGGAAUUGUACGUCUUAUUAUAUCAUUUUAUUGUUCAGAUAAAAUUUGUUUACCAGGAACUACUUAGAUCCUACAUGUAUUAUUCAAUGGAUUAUACAUACAUAUGUAUUUAUUAUGAGUAUAACCAAUAUGGUGAUCAAGAAACAAAACCUUGAUAUUGUUUUAGAAAGUUCUUUUAAGACUGCUUACCACAAAUUCCCACACACCAGAGACAAUCACCAUUCUGAUUUCCAUCAUCAAAGAUUAUCAUUGCCAGUUUUUGAUUUUUGCAGAGGACUCUUUGAUGCCUGGAUUCUUUUGUUUAAUAUAAUAUUUUCAAAAUUCUCUGAUGUUGUUACAUGUAUUAGUAGAUAGUUACUAUUGAAUGAUCCCCCCCAAUUCGGAUUAUAAAUAAGCUUCUAUGAAUUUACUUUUCCAAUCAUGUACUGUACUUUAUUUUCUAUUAAUACCCAGAAGUGGAUUUGCUGAUCAUAAGAUAAGUGUAUCUUUAACUUUACAAGAAAGUAUUGAAGUUUUCCAAACAGUUGGAUUAUUUUACACCAACAAUCUAUGGUAAUUUUAUUUGUUCUUCAUCCUCACCAGCAGGUGGGGUGUAGGUGCUUUUAAUUUUAGCCAUUUUAGUGAAUGUGAAGUAGCAUCUCCUUGUACUUUUAGUUUCAUGAUUAAUGAUGUAGAGCAACUCUUUAUGUUCAUGUUAACCAUCUUAUGCCUUUUGUUGGAAUUUUUAUUUUUAAGUCUUUAUUCUUGAGGUGUAAUUGAUCUACAGAUAUUCUUAAUAUAGAUCCUAUUUUCUUGAGGUGUAAUUGAUCUUCAGAUAUUCUUAAUAUAGAUCCUUAUUCAGAUACAUUAUUAUUGACACAUUUUCCCAGUCUAUGGCAUUCUGCUUAACAUUAUUAAUGGCUAUUUUCAUAAGUAGCAGUUUUUACUUACUCAGUUCCGAAUGAUCAAUUAUUUCUUUCAUAGUCAAUGUUUUUUGUGACCUCUGAGAAAAUGUUGCCUUCUCCAAGGUUGAAAAAAAUGUUUCCUUCUCCUUGCUUUGUAGAGAUUAAAGUUUCUUUUCUGAUUUGUGGAUAUUCAGUUGUUCUAGCAUAAUUUGUCGAAAAGAAUUUUUGACAAUUUGUUAUCUUGGUGACUUUAUUAAAAUUCAACUAACCAUAUAUAUGGUGAUUAGUUUCAUAUACUCUCUUCUGUUCCAUUAAUCUAGUUACCUUGGUUAGUAGAGCUUUGUAUUAAGUUUUAAAAUCAGAUAGUAUGAGCUCUGACUUCAUAUUCUUUUCCAAGAUUAUACUGGCUAUUCUUGGUCCUUCGCACUUCCAAGUCACUUUUAGAAUUGACUCAUCAAUUACUGUAAAAAAUACCCUGCUGAGAUUUGGGACGGGAGUUCCUUGACUUUGUAGGUUAAUUUAAAGUACUGACUAGGUCUUCCGCUCCCAGAAUUUGGUGUACUUAAUUAGGUCUUUUAAAAUUUCAUCAGACAGGGGCUGGGCAUGUAGCUUAGUGGUAGAGUGGAUGCUAAGCUUGAGGCCCUGCGUCAAAUCCCAGCAUGCACAUGUGCGCGCAGCACACACACACACACACACACACACACAGAGAAAAUUCCCUCAGCUGUUUUUGGUAGUUUUCUACAAAUUAGGAAAGAAACAAAUUAGGGUUAUUUUAUAAACAUUGAGCUAUUCAGAUUUUCUAUUCUUCUUGUGUCAGUUUUAGUGAUUGUGUUUUAUGAAAUUUCCAUUUCACUUCAGUUAAAUUUAUUGGCACAAAGUUGUUCAUAAUACUUCAUUUUAAUCCUCUCUCUAUAGAUAGGAUUUGUAGUGAUAUAACUCUUUUUUUUCUAAUAUCAAUAAUUGUUUUCUCUUUUUUUUGUUGUUGAUCAAGGAAUUUAUCUUCCCAGAUAAAUUCCUUUUUUAAAAAAUUCUCAAAGAAUAAACUUCUGGUUUAAUUAUUUUUUUCUAUUGUUUAUUAUUUUUCUCAUUGAUUUCCCCUCUUCUUUUUAUAAUUCCUUGCUUCUCUCUACUUAUUUCAGAUUAAUUUGGCUAUAUUUUCCUAGUUCCUUAAAAUAGAAACUUGAUCAAUUUGAAACCUUUUCCCCUCUUUUUUACAUAAGCAUUUCACAAUCCAAAUUUUCCUCUAAAGCUGAGCAUGGUUGGGCACAUGCCUAUAACAUGGGCUACUUGGGAAACUGAAGCAGGAGGAUCAUAAGCUCAGGAUCAGCCUAGAUAACUUAGCUAGAUAUUGUUUCAAAAUAAAAUCUAAAGGGCUGGGAUAUAGCUCAGUGGUG
RNAcentral lists this long non-coding RNA (3750 nucleotides) under Marmota monax (woodchuck). The record is from RNAcentral. Lineage: Eukaryota; Metazoa; Chordata; Mammalia; Rodentia; Sciuridae.